This 1415-nucleotide long non-coding RNA is filed under the name Bos taurus (domestic cattle). RNAcentral's name for it is "long non-coding RNA NONBTAT028430". Lineage: Eukaryota; Metazoa; Chordata; Mammalia; Artiodactyla; Bovidae. The record is from RNAcentral.
UUCAGGUCUCCUGCACUGCAGGCAGAUUCUUUACCACUGAGCCACCAGGGAACUAUACUGGGUGGGAUUGUCCAUGCUCUAUAACUUACUAACUUUGCAUUUUUUUUGUACCCCAAAUUAACCAACUAUUCUAGUUCAUGAUUUAUCACAUAGUAAUUAAAAAAUGAAUAUAUAUAACCAGUAAGUAAUUUUGGUUUUAACUUUUUUUUUUCUUACUUUCAGGACAUAUGUGUAUAACAUUGACAAUUUUGCUUAUAAUGCUAGAAACCAUGGCUAACUGAACCAAAGAAGUUGAGAAGAAAGUGUUUUGCAUAUUAUCUUGUUUUUAAGAUGCAUAGGAAUGUCCACGAAGCAAGGAAAGAUGAAUCUGUCCUGGAAUCACAUUCUCAACACUCCUAAGACCCUUGAAAAUAGAACAAUUCAUAAGAUUAAGAGUGAUUACUUUCAUAAAAGUGUGGGAAAGUGGAGAGAUUUGUUCAUGUUUAGAAUGUGAGAAAGAAGAAAAAAAAGAAUUUUUUUUCACCAAAUAUGUAAUGUUAUUUUUAUUUAUAAAAGACAAAAAAAUUAAAACAAUUGGAUAUUGAAAACAAAUGAACCAGUCUCUUAUAAGGAAAAUUGUCAAAAAGAUAAAACACAUUAUACAAUAAUUUUCCUUGACUAAAGGGCAUUUUCUACUUUUCUUAUUCUAUUAAAAUGAGCCUGAAUUAGUUGGCAAAUUUUUUUAAAGGAAAAACAUGAUGAUGAUCCAAGAGUGUUGAGUUUCUUGGGUUAGUUGGUGACAAAGGAAGAAUACAUAAUGAAGGAAUAAUUCUUCCUUUUUCAUUAAUUGCAGAUAGUGAAUUAGCCCCUUAUUUGUAAGAUAGUUAGAACAAUUUUUUCUAUUUGAAAAAAUGCCCCUAUGAAAGAGUGAAAGUUGUCUUAGAUUGACUUAAUGUCUUUAAAACUCUGUAGAGAUAUUGUAAUAUUAGUAUAAGAAAAGAUGCUAUAUUUCUGAAGUGAGAUAUUCAUAUUCAAAUUGUAAAUCUUAUUCUUUUGUAAUAUUAAGUUUAAUUUAUAUUUAUUUAUGUUUUACAUGUAUAUCAGAAAAAGUUCAAGGAGAUAUGUAAAGCAAAAUUUAUUUUCCCUAAGUAGAAAUAACCACAUUUUUGUCUCAUGUAUUAUUUGACAUUUAUUUUCUUGUGUAAAUUAUUUAUAAAUAAGGGAGCCCCUUCCUGCCUUUCAUAGGAGUUUAGAAUGCUGCCCUUUGGCCUAGUGAGAAUCACUUUUAAUGUAUUACUUGUUGUUGAUUUAACUAAAGGCAAUCACAUCAGUUUUCAGAUUCUUAAUAUGUUCUUGUCAUCUUGCCACUUACAUGUUAAGUGUUGGAAUAGACUAGAAUAUAUACAUAAAUAAAUUUCACAAUAAUUAUAUUGUCA